This is a long non-coding RNA of Hyla sarda, 627 nucleotides long. RefSeq lists it as uncharacterized. The transcript has 3 exons. The record is from RefSeq and is a predicted model, not a curated record. NCBI's taxonomy places the organism in Eukaryota, Metazoa, Chordata, Amphibia, Anura, Hylidae.
ACAGUUUGAUAAAUCUGGGCCAUUGUGUCUGGCCACAUGGAAUGCUGGGAAAGGUCAGAGACAACCCUUCCACUACAGCACUUCUGGGUGUGGGUCUCGUGCAUAAAAGCAGGACAAAGCUGUGCAAUGAGCCAUUUAGCCCCAAGACAAGCGCAGAUCCUUCCUAAGCAUGUUCAUCACUGUCUGCCAGUCUGCAGGAGACAUUGUCAUGGUGGUCUGCCCUGGAUGAAGAAUAAUGGGGAAGAGAACAUCUACAAUCAGAGAAGACAUCACUUGAGAGUCACUGAAUGAAAUUGUUGUGUAAAUUUAACCUCUCAUUGUCAUGUCAUGUAUGCAGGAGUCUCAGCACCACCGAUUGCUAGGCAUAGCUGGGUGAAGCGCUUAAUCCGUCUCUUUGCACAUAUUCAAAGAAUUUUGCCCCCCAAAAAAUAUAUUUUGCGCCAAUAUUUUGGCACGAAAAGUAUCGACCACAUUUUCAAAGAGCUUUGUGCUACGGUUUACACUGUUCACUUCAGUUUUGUAAAAGUGGGUGUGUCCAUGUAUAUUGUCUGCUUUACAUGAUAUUUUCAAAGGGAUGAGAGUCCAGUUUACAUCAAAAAUUUCACACCAGCUUUUUGAUGUGUUAUU